This 2434-nucleotide long non-coding RNA is filed under the name Oryza sativa (Asian cultivated rice). RNAcentral's name for it is "long non-coding RNA (OSAT_LNC001968)". The record is from RNAcentral. Lineage: Eukaryota; Viridiplantae; Streptophyta; Magnoliopsida; Poales; Poaceae.
CGAGAAAUAAAAUGGCAAAAUGAUUUCUGCUACUUCCUGCGAACUUCCUUUCCCCAUUCUUUGCUCGGAGAUUCCUCGUCAAACCCUAAACCCCCAAAUCCACCCGCGCGGAUCGUGAGGUAGGAGCUCGGGGAGCGCCGCGGGUGGCGGCAGGAGAACGGAGACGGACGGAGGAUACCCUCCGGGGUGGCGCGAAGCCCGGUAGUUCCCUCUGCCGGCGUCGUCGUCGGCCGAUGGCUACCGCCGCUAUGUGCGACGGCGAGGGGCAGCAGGGCCGACUGCGACGAGCUUCUGUUCCACGCAAUUCCACAAUGGAUUCGAUGGACUGACCAGGUAUGUGGAAAAAAAUUGGUACGACAUGCUCUAGACCUCCAUGCUUUUUUCUCUUUCUCUGGGAAAAUGGUUAUCUUGGUUGUGGAGAGAAAGGGGGAGAGAUAGGCAAAUUAUAUAUUCGGUUCUUACAUAGUUAAUUAUUUUGGCAUAUUUGUAUCUUAUUUUUGUUGAAAUUACGGUGUAUGCUUGACUGUAAAUUUUAUUACUUUCCUCGUCAUACUUGUCCUUAUGAACACCUGUUUUUGCCAAAUGUUCUAGUGAUUGUGAUGGCAUAUAGUUUGCUGUUCAAGCAAACCUCAAAUGUAUAAUAUCUAUAGAUGCUGUUGAAGAAUAUGGUGGUUUUGAAUCAAUGGCAGAUGUUUUGCCACAUUUCAUUGAUAUGCAACACCAACCCAAGAAAGGGUAAAAGCAUCUAAAAAAGAGAAGAAAAACGACGCGACAAGAUUGUUUCCUGUUUCUGACCGAACCAGAGAUGUCAUGGAGCCCAGGAAGUGGGGCAGCACCUGCCAGCUCUUGGAUGUUUUCAGAGUGAUUUUCAGCAGCAGCACCUUGCCAGCCAAAUCCAUGAACUGAUUUCUGUCUAUAUGAUUCCUGUAGAAAUGAAUGAAUUAUAUAUUUGGUAUCACAUUUUUGUUAGAUGUAUUCUACCAAAUGGUUGCUACCUUUUGAAAUCUCGUUACCUCCCAAGAACAGUAAAAACACAACCCCCUACUCCCCCCCUCCUCCACCACCACCACCAAUUUUUUUUCCUCAGGUUCAUAUGGCUUGACAGAAUAAAGGUCCAAUCAUAUAAAACAAAAAGUUAGAGUACACUAUAUGUGUAGAGAAUUGUAGCUAUUCCAGAAGAAGUUAUGUAUACUUACUUAGCUCUACUACAUUUCAUCUAUUUCAAUGGGUUUAAACAUCCUUCUCCCACUCCCGCGGAUGCUUCAUACUAUCCUCUUCCUUGCAUUUGAUCCCAACAUCAUCAUCAUCUUUUACCAUCUUCCAUGUCCAGUUUGUGUUGAUUUCAAUAUUGAUAUGGCUGCGAAGGUGAUUGGUUGCCUCCCUGAUGGCAGCCUCUUUAGCCUCCACCUCAUGAGCCUUUGCAUCUCUACAAUCUAUCAACACAAGGAGAUGCUUGAGAGAGGACAUCUGCUGGAUGCUGAGAAAAAAUUGUCUGCAUGGAUUUCUUGUUUCUCGUGCUUUUAAGUUAAAGCGAAACCUUUCAAGAUUUUGCAUUGCCCCAGCCUCAAAUACUAAUGGAUUCAUUUCAAUAUUGCAGGAGUAAAACACGAACUGUUUAAGAUAGAGAAACCCUCUGUUGCGGAUGAUGAGCUUUUCAUUGGGGGCUACUCCUUUUGUCCAUAUCCUGAGAGCUAGAAGAGAAGGUAAUUUGCCAAGGAUCUGAAAAGCUUCCUCCCCAACAUGACUAAUAUUGAUAUUCAGGAAGGUGACGCUAGAGAGCAUAGCCAUCCACUCUGGAAUUCUAGGAAAAUAAUAGUUUGAGCUCAUCCCAAAAUAUCGGAGGGGAUUAGGAGCAGUGAACCAAGAAUUCAACAAGAAAUCGAGAGACGAACCAUUUUCAGUACAGCAUUGAACAUGCAGGUACUGAAGCUUGAGUUUGCACAGUGUACUGAUGGAUGGAACAAAGUUAUCUAUGUGAGUUUUACCACCAGCAUACAUAUCAUUAACGCACCAAAUUAUCCCAAGAUACCUUAGUUCAGUCAAUCUUUGUAGUUCAUGCAAGGUAUUUGAUGAGAUGCUGUUGUCAACUUUCAUAUGAUAAAGUUUCUGUAAAGCCUUCAUGUUCCCUACUCCUGCUGGCAGACUUACUUCAUCGGCAAGUAAAAACAGCAACCUUUUCAACUUCACAAUACUCUUGGGUAAUUCCUUUAUCAUUGUCUGUGUCAGAUCUAUUGUCUCAAGUUGCUGUAGUUCCCCUAUUUGCUCUGGGAGUUUGCUGAUGCUUACUCUGUUCAACCUUAGGUAUUUAAGACAAAACAAUUUCUGUAUGCCAUUUAGGUGAUGGUUUUCUAAUUGAUCAUUGCAUUCAAUGCUAAUUGUACGAAGAGCUUGAAAGUCUGAAAUAGGCAGCACAUUUUCAGUGGAUCCAUAAGUA